GACGAACGCUGGCGGCAUGCCUAAUACAUGCAAGUCGAGCGAACAGAUGAAGUGCUUGCACUUCUGACGUUAGCGGCGAACGGGUGAGUAACACGUAAGGAAUCUACCUAUAAGCGGGGGAUAACAUUCGGAAACGGGUGCUAAUACCGCAUAAUAUCUUCUUCCGCAUGGAAGAAGAUUGAAAGACGGCUCUGCUGUCACUUAUAGAUGACCUUGCGGUGCAUUAGUUAGUUGGUGGGGUAACGGCCUACCAAGACGAUGAUGCAUAGCCGACCUGAGAGGGUGAUCGGCCACAUUGGGACUGAGACACGGCCCAAACUCCUACGGGAGGCAGCAGUAGGGAAUCUUCCGCAAUGGGCGAAAGCCUGACGGAGCAAUGCCGCGUGAGUGAAGAAGGCCUUCGGGUCGUAAAACUCUGUUAUAAGAGAAGAACAAAUUGUAGAGUAACUGCUACAGUCUUGACGGUAUCUGAUCAGAAAGCCACGGCUAACUACGUG
RNAcentral lists this ribosomal RNA (497 nucleotides) under uncultured bacterium. RNAcentral's name for it is "partial 16S ribosomal RNA". It matches the Rfam family "Bacterial small subunit ribosomal RNA", at positions 28 to 507 of the family's 1533-position model. The record is from RNAcentral.